UACGUAGGCAGCGAGCGUUUGUUCGGAAUUACUGGGCGUAAAGAGUGUGUAGGCGGUGCUCUAAGUUCGGUGUGAAAUCUCCCGCUUAACUGGGAGGGUGCGCCGGAAACUGGAGUGCUCGAGCGUGGGGAGAGGGGAAGCGGGAAUUCCUGGUGUAGCGGGUGAAAAUGCGUAGAUAUCAGGGAGGGAACACCUGCGGUGUAGACGCUUUCUGGACCAUUGCUGACGGCUGAGACACGAAAGCGUGGGUAGCAAACAGG
RNAcentral lists this ribosomal RNA (260 nucleotides) under uncultured bacterium. RNAcentral's name for it is "partial 16S ribosomal RNA". It matches the Rfam family "Bacterial small subunit ribosomal RNA", at positions 524 to 776 of the family's 1533-position model. The record is from RNAcentral.